This 219-nucleotide long non-coding RNA is filed under the name Phoenix dactylifera (date palm). Its description in RNAcentral is "long non-coding RNA (PDAC_LNC013090)". The record is from RNAcentral. Lineage: Eukaryota; Viridiplantae; Streptophyta; Magnoliopsida; Arecales; Arecaceae.
UACUCUGGAAAAUCUUGCUUACCCUCCCCCUUCCCCCCCCAGCCGCAUAUAUAUCAGGCUGGGGGGUUUUUCCGGGGAUUGGUCAUCGUGUGGCGCGAUGGGGUUGCCACUGACAUGGUCGUUACAGGGCGUCGUGGGGCAGCGCUGGGUACGGCUAUGGCAGGGCGUAGUGGAGCUCCGCUUUGUACGGCUGUUACAGGGGAUCGUGGGACAGCGCCG